Chelonia mydas (Green sea turtle) is the source of this 4327-nucleotide RNA transcript. It is a transcript of the gene named DEAD-box helicase 56, with no coding region annotated. The record is from RefSeq and is a predicted model, not a curated record. NCBI's taxonomy places the organism in Eukaryota, Metazoa, Chordata, Testudines, Cheloniidae. The transcript has 15 exons.
GCGCGCUAGUCUCGUGGCUGCGCCUUUAUGGUGCUUCCGCACGGCGAGCGGCGCAUGCGCUCUGAGUCGGGGGCGGGCGGGCCGCGCCGGCUGGAGAUGGAGCCCGAGUCGAGCUUCGCGCACAUGGGGCUGGACGGGCGGCUGCUGCAGGCCAUUGCUGAGCUGGGCUGGGCCAAGCCCACGCUGAUCCAGGAGAAGGCCAUUCCGCUGGCCCUGGAGGGCAAAGACCUGCUAGCCCGGGCUAGGACAGGGUCUGGGAAGACGGCCGCCUAUGCCAUCCCCCUCAUCCAGCACUUGCUCCAAGUGAAGAUGUCCCCCUUGGUGACAGAGCAGGCUGUGCGCGCGCUGGUCCUGGUGCCCACCAAGGAGCUGGGCCAGCAGGUGCUGCAGAUGAUCCGGCAGCUGAUGGCGUACUGCUCCCGCGAUGUCCGUGUCGCCGACAUCUCCGGGCAGGUGGACAUGUCUGCCCAGAGGCCCAUCCUGAUGGAGAAGCCGGACGUGGUGGUGGGGACGCCGUCGCGGGUCCUGGCUCAUCUGCAGGGCCACAGCCUGAGCCUGCGCCACUCCCUGGAGGUGCUGGUCCUGGACGAGGCUGACCUACUCUUCUCCUUUGGCUUUGAGGAGGAUCUGAAGAACCUGUUGUGCCACUUCCCCAAGAUCUACCAGAGCUUCCUGAUGUCGGCCACCUUCAGUGAGGAGGUGCAGGCGCUGAAGGAGCUGGUGCUACACAACCCAGUGACCCUGAAGCUGCGGGAGUCCCAGCUGCCGGAGGCAGCCCAGCUGUGCCAGUACCAGAUCCGCUGCGCGACUGAGGAGGACAAGUUCCUGCUGCUCUACGCGCUGCUCAAGCUGGGGCUGGUGCGGGGCAAGGCCAUCCUCUUCGUCAGCACCGUGGAGCGCGGCUACCGCCUCAAGCUCUUCCUGGAGCAGUUCAGCAUCCCGGCCUGUGUGCUCAACGCAGAGCUGCCCGUGCAGUCCCGGUGCCACAUCAUCAGCCAGUUCAACCGGGGCUUCUACGACUACAUCGUCGCCACCGACGAGCAGGUGCUGGCAGAGCCUGCAGCGCGGGCCAGGAGGAAGAAGGGCGCCAAGUCAGAGAAGGGCAAAGACCCAGAGUACGGCGUGGCACGGGGCAUCGACUUCCAGAAUGUCGCCACAGUCAUCAACUUUGACCCGCCCGCCUCGGUUGAGUCCUACAUCCACCGGGCCGGCAGGACAGCCCGCGCUGACAACCCUGGCACAGCCCUGACUUUCGUGACACACCCAGAGUGCCCCUUGCUGGCCGAGAUCGAGGAGGCUCUUGCAGGAGAGAGCACCGAGCCCGUGCUGCGCCCCUACCAGUUCCGGAUGGAGGAAGUCGAGGGGCUCCGCUACAGAUGCCGGGACGCCAUGCGCUCUGUCACCAAGCAGGCCAUCAAGGAGGCACGGCUGCGGGAGAUCAAGGAGGAGCUACUCAACUCGGAAAAGCUGAAGCUGGGUCUCGACUCAAUGUGUCCCCGCAGACGUACUUUGAGGACAAUCCCCACGACCUGCGGCUGCUGCGCCACGACCGGCCCCUGCACCCGGCCAUCAUCAAACCGCACCUGCGCAACGUUCCCGAGUACCUGGUGCCCCCCACCCUGCGUGCCAUCGCCCAGCCCCUGCUCAACAAGCGCAAGCGACGGAAACACUUGGCCCCCAGCAGCAGCCGACCCAGGGCGGGCUUCCAGGCCCGGGGGGGGCGCAACCCUCUGCGGAGCUUCCGGUACAUGGGGAGGAGACCCCGGCACCUAGCCAGCAAAGGGGAGACAUCCUGAGCCGUGGGCCCCCGUCAGUGACAGCACCUGGCUGGACUCAGAACAGACAAUGUCCUAUGUGGCUGGGGCCGAUGCCCCCGCUGGGCCGAGAGGAGACAAGUGCUCCCCCUGCGCCCCUGCCUGGCUCCGCUCUCCGAACAGGGAUCUUCUGGGGCACCUGUGGCUGGGCGUGGGCAUCUUCUGCUGCUGGCGUCAGCCACAUCCUGGUGCCAGCCCCCGGGAGCCUGAGUCUGGCUGUGGGGAAAGGGGGCUGGGGCCGAAGGGUUGCGGACGGCAGCUGACCCCAAUAAAGCUCAAUGCUGGCUCCACUUGGCUGGGUCUCUCUCUUGGGGCUGGGCCACCCACUGCUCCCAUGGAGGCACCAGCCAGGGAACAGCUGGGGGUUGCUCUAAGCAGCAUGGAGGAGGGGAAACUGCUCUGUCCCCUCGCCCCCAGCCUGCUCUGGCUGGGAUGCUGGGAUGGCGGGGGCUGGAUGUGUCUUUUGCGGGGGUGUCUCGCCAGGCCUGGCACAGUGCUGGCCUCUCUGCCCAGCUGAGAGUGCCCAUGCUCAUCCCAUGGCUGCUAUGCUGCCAUAGAGGGUGGAACCAUGUCUGGAAGGCCCAGCCUGGGUGGUCUUUUCCACGGCCAGCAGAACCCCUGCUCCUCCUGGUACUGGGAGGUGCCGAGCGAGGGAGGGUGUUUGGGCAGCUGCCCUUGCUCUUGGCGCUCCCUCUGCCAGAGCGACGGGGUGGUACUGGCCAUCUGCAGGGUGAGGGGCGAGGGCUCCCCUAGCGUUCUAGGGGUUAAUGAGGAGCAGGCACCUCUCCCUGGGCAUGGGGGAGCUGGAAGUUAAUGCACUGCCCUGCUUGUGCCCCCCAACCCCUUGGUGCUGACUCAAGGCCUGGCCUUACAGCUACAGGAAGGAGGGGGCUCUGGUCAGGGCUGGCCUUGUGUCUCCAGGGCAGGGCUGCUCCUACCUGUGCCAGCUCUGUGUCUCGGGCCCCCCUCUCCCUCUGACAGCCAGGAAUGGGCAGGACUGGCUCCACCCGAGGCACAGGGUUGGGUGAGGGCCAACACCCCGCACGCUGGGGAAUCAGGCCUCUGCAUUUCCAUGUCUCAUCCUGUCCAGCCGCUCACUAAUUGUAAUGCUGGCUCCUUGGCACGCACGCUGGCUUGCCUGGCUCUGCUUAGCCCCCGCGGCUCUGGCCUUGGCUCCGUUAGUAAGCGAGUGCGGCAUCGCCCCCAGGGGCCAUCUGGCCAGAGUUACCCAGCCUGUGGGGAUGGCAGCUGGCACGGGCUAAUACAGAGGACCCAGCUUUCUGACCAUGGUUGCUCAGUCUCAGCUAGUGUUGGCCCCAGCAAGCCCUGCUGCAGGGGCCAGGCUGCACUGGGCGGAGGGUCCCGUUCCCCCAGACUUGGGGACAAGAGGUUCCACUUUAAGCCAUCGCCUGCAGUGGCUCCUGGUUACGGUGUGAGGCUCUCUGGCCCACUCGCUUGGACUCACACGGGGGGGACAUGCCUGGAACCUGGCUCGGUUCAAAGCCAGGGCGCGUGCUGCCCCGUCCAGGGACCCUGCUCUGGCAGCGUCCUUGGGGCUGGACUAGCAUCCAGCAGCAUACAGCACUGGGGGCUUUGGCAAACCCACUUUGCGCGGUGGCCUCGGGUUUCAUACCCUGGUGUCGGGGGAGGGGUGGGGGUGGCAGAGGAGGCAGCCGUGAGACGUAGGGGGGAUUCCACAUUUAGUUAUGGCCAAGGAUUGUGCUUCUCUGUGGCCCCAGAGGAUGCCCACCACCGCCUUUUAGAGCAAGUUGUCUUCACCUUUCAAAGUAAAAACCGCCUCAGGUGCUUGUAUCACCCCCAACACAGCCAGCAGUCAGCAAGAAGACCGGCCCCUAUGUUCAGUGCCCAGGGUGCAGGCCCGCUGGGUACACCGAGGCCUUCCCCUUCCCUGCUUGCUGCAGAACAAGAGCUGGGAUUGAAGGAACGAGCCAGACUCUCCUCCCCUGUACGGCAGGCCAGCGGACUGGGGCUGGGCUGGAUUUCUUGGGGCAAUCAGAGUACUGAACCUUUCAGCCCUUCAUUUCUCUGGCUUGUGCAGGGGGCUGUUCUGACUGCGUUGAAAGUGUGUGUCCCCCGGGACAGUGGGAUGGUUUGUUCCUGUAACCUCAAUAAGGAUUCUUUAUAAUACAGCCAUCAAAAGUGACAAACGCCAUAGCUUAUCAUUUGAGGACAUCAUCAAUGACUUUGCUCUCCCAGAAUCACAAAAGAAAAUAUUUUAAAUUUCAGUGUUAAAAUUAAUGUGAUGUGCAAACAGACAUACUGCGGGUUGUACUGCUUCUAUUAAGUAAGCUGGUCUGUAUAACUAAUUGCUUUUGUGUUGCUGUAGAUAUAAAGUUUUCAUAUCUACUAAUUAAGAUGAAAAUAUGUUAAUUUGAAACUAUUUUUUAUAAUGCAAACAGGAAUAUUGCAAGACGUGUUUUAGUUAGAUUAUUAUUCUAUUUUUACAACUUCGCCUUUGUAUAUAUGCAACUAUAAAGCCUUCGUGUUAUGUA